RNAcentral lists this ribosomal RNA (253 nucleotides) under uncultured bacterium. RNAcentral's name for it is "partial 16S ribosomal RNA". It matches the Rfam family "Bacterial small subunit ribosomal RNA", at positions 524 to 776 of the family's 1533-position model. The record is from RNAcentral.
UACGGGGGGAGCAAGCGUUGUUCGGAUUCAUUGGGCGUAAAGGGUGUGUAGGUGGCGCCGUAAGUCGGGUGUGAAAUUUCGGAGCUUAACUCCGAAACUGCAUUCGAUACUGCGGUGCUUGAGGACUGGAGAGGAGACUGGAAUUCAUGGUGUAGCAGUGAAAUGCGUAGAGAUCAUGAGGAAGACCAGUGGCGAAGGCGGGUCUCUGGACAGUUCCUGACACUGAGACACGAAGGCCAGGGGAGCAAACGGG